This 71-nucleotide transfer RNA is filed under the name Marmota monax (woodchuck). RNAcentral's name for it is "tRNA.Ala". It matches the Rfam family "tRNA". From Rfam's summary of the family: Transfer RNA (tRNA) molecules are approximately 80 nucleotides in length. Their secondary structure includes four short double-helical elements and three loops (D, anti-codon, and T loops). Lineage: Eukaryota; Metazoa; Chordata; Mammalia; Rodentia; Sciuridae. The record is from RNAcentral.
GGGGUUGUGGCUCAGUGGUAGAGCACUCACCUAGCAUGUGCAAGGUCCUGGGUUCAAUCCUCAGCACCACA